Molecule: ribosomal RNA, 647 nt
Filed under: Salmonella enterica subsp. enterica serovar Infantis
Lineage: Bacteria; Pseudomonadati; Pseudomonadota; Gammaproteobacteria; Enterobacterales; Enterobacteriaceae
Also listed under: 1 other name
Description: partial 23S ribosomal RNA
Rfam family: Bacterial large subunit ribosomal RNA
Source: RNAcentral
AGACCCGAAACCCGGUGAUCUAGCCAUGGGCAGGUUGAAGGUUGGGUAACACUAACUGGAGGACCGAACCGACUAAUGUUGAAAAAUUAGCGGAUGACCUGUGGCUGGGGGUGAAAGGCCAAUCAAACCGGGAGAUAGCUGGUUCUCCCCGAAAGCUAUUUAGGUAGCGCCUCGUGAAUUCAUCUCCGGGGGUAGAGCACUGUUUCGGCUAGGGGGCCAUCCCGGCUUACCAACCCGAUGCAAACUGCGAAUACCGGAGAAUGUUAUCACGGGAGACACACGGCGGGUGCUAACGUCCGUCGUGAAGAGGGAAACAACCCAGACCGCCAGCUAAGGUCCCAAAGUCAUGGUUAAGUGGGAAACGAUGUGGGAAGGCCCAGACAGCCAGGAUGUUGGCUUAGAAGCAGCCAUCAUUUAAAGAAAGCGUAAUAGCUCACUGGUCGAGUCGGCCUGCGCGGAAGAUGUAACGGGGCUAAACCAUGCACCGAAGCUGCGGCAGCGACACUCAGGUGUUGUUGGGUAGGGGAGCGUUCUGUAAGCCUGCGAAGGUGGCCUGUGAGGGUUGCUGGAGGUAUCAGAAGUGCGAAUGCUGACAUAAGUAACGAUAAAGCGGGUGAAAAGCCCGCUCGCCGGAAGACCAAGGGUUC